Molecule: ribosomal RNA, 468 nt
Filed under: uncultured bacterium
Lineage: Bacteria
Description: partial 16S ribosomal RNA
Rfam family: Bacterial small subunit ribosomal RNA
Source: RNAcentral
GACGAACGCUGGCGGCGUGCUUAACACAUGCAAGUCGAACGGAAAGGCCCUGCUUUUGUGGGGUGCUCGAGUGGCGAACGGGUGAGUAACACGUGAGUAACCUGCCCUUGACUUUGGGAUAACUUCAGGAAACUGGGGCUAAUACCGGAUAGGAGCUCCUGCUGCAUGGUGGGGGUUGGAAAGUUUCGGCGGUUGGGGAUGGACUCGCGGCUUAUCAGCUUGUUGGUGGGGUAGUGGCUUACCAAGGCUUUGACGGGUAGCCGGCCUGGGGGGGUGACCGGCCAAAUGGGGACUGGGAAAGGGCCAGGACCCUGAGGGGAGGAGGAAGGGGGGAAUAUGGCACAUGGGGGGGAGGCCGAAGGAAGAAACCCCGGGGGGGGGAGGAGGGCCUUCGGGUUUUAAACCGCUUUCGCCGGUGAGGAGGCGGGAGUGACGGUAAUGGGUAAAGAAGCACCGGCUAACUACGUG